ACGAACGCUGGCGGCGUGCUUAACACAUGCAAGUCGAACGGAAAGGCCCUGCUUUUGUGGGGUGCUCGAGUGGCGAACGGGUGAGUAACACGUGAGUAACCUGCCCUUGACUUUGGGAUAACUUCAGGAAACUGGGGCUAAUACCGGAUAGGAGCUCCUGCUGCAUGGUGGGGGUUGGAAAGUUUCGGCGGUUGGGGAUGGACUCGCGGCUUAUCAGCUUGUUGGUGGGGUAGUGGCUUACCAAGGCUUUGACGGGUAGCCGGCCUGAGAGGGUGACCGGCCACAUUGGGACUGAGAUACGGCCCAGACUCCUACGGGAGGCAGCAGUGGGGAAUAUUGCACAAUGGGCGGAAGCCUGAUGCAGCAACGCCGCGUGAGGGAUGACGGCCUUCGGGUUGUAAACCGCUUUCGCCUGUGACGAAGCGUGAGUGACGGUAAUGGGUAAAGAAGCACCGGCUAACUACGUG
This 467-nucleotide ribosomal RNA is filed under the name uncultured bacterium. Its description in RNAcentral is "partial 16S ribosomal RNA". It matches the Rfam family "Bacterial small subunit ribosomal RNA", at positions 29 to 507 of the family's 1533-position model. The record is from RNAcentral.